UUUAAGGGACAAAAGGAAAAAAAUUUUUAGGAUAAAUUACAACUUGAGAGCCAUAUAAAAGUGACAAUAGGAUAUAUAUCUCAUUUUUUUUAAAUACCAAGAUUUUUUUUUCCUUUUGUCGGAUCGAACCCCAAGAUAGGGCUGCCUACGUAUCCAUUUAGGAAUCAGGUCGAACGUAGUUCAAUGCUAACGCAUUAUCUU
Molecule: long non-coding RNA, 201 nt
Filed under: Capsicum annuum
Lineage: Eukaryota; Viridiplantae; Streptophyta; Magnoliopsida; Solanales; Solanaceae
Description: long non-coding RNA (CANN_LNC012184)
Source: RNAcentral